RNAcentral lists this ribosomal RNA (517 nucleotides) under Enterococcus faecalis. Its description in RNAcentral is "bacterial SSU rRNA". It matches the Rfam family "Bacterial small subunit ribosomal RNA", at positions 8 to 496 of the family's 1533-position model. Lineage: Bacteria; Bacillati; Bacillota; Bacilli; Lactobacillales; Enterococcaceae. The record is from RNAcentral.
AGAGUUUGAUCCUGGCUCAGGACGAACGCUGGCGGCGUGCCUAAUACAUGCAAGUCGAACGCUUCUUUCCUCCCGAGUGCUUGCACUCAAUUGGAAAGAGGAGUGGCGGACGGGUGAGUAACACGUGGGUAACCUACCCAUCAGAGGGGGAUAACACUUGGAAACAGGUGCUAAUACCGCAUAACAGUUUAUGCCGCAUGGCAUAAGAGUGAAAGGCGCUUUCGGGUGUCGCUGAUGGAUGGACCCGCGGUGCAUUAGCUAGUUGGUGAGGUAACGGCUCACCAAGGCGACGAUGCAUAGCCGACCUGAGAGGGUGAUCGGCCACACUGGGACUGAGACACGGCCCAGACUCCUACGGGAGGCAGCAGUAGGGAAUCUUCGGCAAUGGACGAAAGUCUGACCGAGCAACGCCGCGUGAGUGAAGAAGGUUUUCGGAUCGUAAAACUCUGUUGUUAGAGAAGAACAAGGACGUUAGUAACUGAACGUCCCCUGACGGUAUCUAACCAGAAAGCCACGG